RNAcentral lists this ribosomal RNA (1372 nucleotides) under uncultured bacterium. RNAcentral's name for it is "bacterial SSU rRNA". It matches the Rfam family "Bacterial small subunit ribosomal RNA", at positions 28 to 1381 of the family's 1533-position model. The record is from RNAcentral.
GAUGAACGCUGGCGGCGUGCCUAAUACAUGCAAGUCGAGCGAACGGACGAGAAGCUUGCUUCUCUGAUGUUAGCGGCGGACGGGUGAGUAACACGUGGAUAACCUACCUAUAAGACUGGGAUAACUUCGGGAAACCGGAGCUAAUACCGGAUAAUAUUUUGAACCGCAUGGUUCAAAAGUGAAAGACGGUCUUGCUGUCACUUAUAGAUGGAUCCGCGCUGCAUUAGCUAGUUGGUAAGGUAACGGCUUACCAAGGCAACGAUGCAUAGCCGACCUGAGAGGGUGAUCGGCCACACUGGAACUGAGACACGGUCCAGACUCCUACGGGAGGCAGCAGUAGGGAAUCUUCCGCAAUGGGCGAAAGCCUGACGGAGCAACGCCGCGUGAGUGAUGAAGGUCUUCGGAUCGUAAAACUCUGUUAUUAGGGAAGAACAUAUGUGUAAGUAACUGUGCACAUCUUGACGGUACCUAAUCAGAAAGCCACGGCUAACUACGUGCCAGCAGCCGCGGUAAUACGUAGGUGGCAAGCGUUAUCCGGAAUUAUUGGGCGUAAAGCGCGCGUAGGCGGUUUUUUAAGUCUGAUGUGAAAGCCCACGGCUCAACCGUGGAGGGUCAUUGGAAACUGGAAAACUUGAGUGCAGAAGAGGAAAGUGGAAUUCCAUGUGUAGCGGUGAAAUGCGCAGAGAUAUGGAGGAACACCAGUGGCGAAGGCGACUUUCUGGUCUGUAACUGACGCUGAUGUGCGAAAGCGUGGGGAUCAAACAGGAUUAGAUACCCUGGUAGUCCACGCCGUAAACGAUGAGUGCUAAGUGUUAGGGGGUUUCCGCCCCUUAGUGCUGCAGCUAACGCAUUAAGCACUCCGCCUGGGGAGUACGACCGCAAGGUUGAAACUCAAAGGAAUUGACGGGGACCCGCACAAGCGGUGGAGCAUGUGGUUUAAUUCGAAGCAACGCGAGGAACCUUACCAAAUCUUGACAUCCUUUGACAACUCUAGAGAUAGAGCUUUCCCCUUCGGGGGACAAAGUGACAGGUGGUGCAUGGUUGUCGUCAGCUCGUGUCGUGAGAUGUUGGGUUAAGUCCCGCAACGAGCGCAACCCUUAAGCUUAGUUGCCAUCAUUAAGUUGGGCACUCUAAGUUGACUGCCGGUGACAAACCGGAGGAAGGUGGGGAUGACGUCAAAUCAUCAUGCCCCUUAUGAUUUGGGCUACACACGUGCUACAAUGGACAAUACAAAGGGCAGCGAAACCGCGAGGUCAAGCAAAUCCCAUAAAGUUGUUCUCAGUUCGGAUUGUAGUCUGCAACUCGACUACAUGAAGCUGGAAUCGCUAGUAAUCGUAGAUCAGCAUGCUACGGUGAAUACGUUCCCGGGUCU